UUCGCAAUGCCCGAAAGGGUGACGAAGCGACGCCGCGUGGGUGAGGAAGGCCCUCGGGUUGUAAAGCCCUGUCAGGAGUUAAGAAAUGUAAGUGCGCUAAUAUCGCAUUUAUUUGACGAAGGCUCCAAAGGAAGCCACGGCUAACUCUGUGCCAGCAGCCGCGGUAAUACAGAGGUGGCAAGCGUUGUUCGGAAUUAUUGGGCGUAAAGAGCACGUAGGUGGGUUUGUAAGUCAGAUGUGAAAGCCUUCUGUUCAACGGAAGAAUUGCAUCUGAAGCUACAAGUCUUGAGUGUAGGAGGGGAGAAUGGAACUUCUGGUGGAGCGGUGAAAUGCAUAGAUAUCAGAAGGAACGCCGGCGGCGAAAGCGAUUCUCUGGCCUAUUACUGACACUCAGUGUGCGAAAGCUAGGGGAGCAAACGGGAUUAGAUACCCCGGUAGUCCUAGCCGUAAACGAUGGGCACUAAGUAGAGGGGUUUU
Molecule: ribosomal RNA, 477 nt
Filed under: Candidatus Scalindua marina (nom. nud.)
Lineage: Bacteria; Pseudomonadati; Planctomycetota; Candidatus Brocadiia; Candidatus Brocadiales; Candidatus Scalinduaceae
Description: bacterial SSU rRNA
Rfam family: Bacterial small subunit ribosomal RNA
Source: RNAcentral